GAGUUUGAUCUUGGCUCAGAUUGAACGCUGGCGGCAUGCCUUACACAUGCAAGUCGAACGGCAGCACGGGAGCUUGCUCCUGGUGGCGAGUGGCGAACGGGUGAGUAAUGCAUCGGAACGUAUCCUGGAGUGGGGGGAUAACGUAGCGAAAGUUACGCUAAUACCGCAUAUUCUGUGAGCAGGAAAGCGGGGGACCUUCGGGCCUCGCGCUCUUGGAGCGGCCGAUGUCGGAUUAGCUAGUUGGUGAGGUAAAGGCUCACCAAGGCGACGAUCCGUAGCAGGUCUGAGAGGAUGAUCUGCCACACUGGAACUGAGACACGGUCCAGACUCCUACGGGAGGCAGCAGUGGGGAAUUUUGGACGAAUGGGGGCAACCCUGAUCCAGCCAUGCCGCGUGAGUGAAGAAGGCC
RNAcentral lists this ribosomal RNA (409 nucleotides) under bacterium enrichment culture clone ALO1_GLFRUDD03FPLR5. RNAcentral describes it as "bacterial SSU rRNA". It matches the Rfam family "Bacterial small subunit ribosomal RNA", at positions 9 to 416 of the family's 1533-position model. The record is from RNAcentral.